UACGUAGGGUGCGAGCGUUAAUCGGAAUUACUGGGCGUAAAGCGUGCGCAGGCGGUUUUGUAAGCCAGAUGUGAAAUCCCCGGGCUUAACCUGGGAAUGGCAUUUGGGACUGCAAGGCUGGAGUGUGGCAGAGGAGACUGGAAUUCCUGGUGUAGCAGUGAAAUGCGUAGAUAUCAGGAGGAAUACCGACGGCGAAGGCAGGUCUCUGGGCUGACACUGACGCUCAUGCACGAAAGCGUGGGGAGCAAACAGG
This 253-nucleotide ribosomal RNA is filed under the name uncultured bacterium. RNAcentral's name for it is "partial 16S ribosomal RNA". It matches the Rfam family "Bacterial small subunit ribosomal RNA", at positions 524 to 776 of the family's 1533-position model. The record is from RNAcentral.